Long non-coding RNA from Lemur catta (Ring-tailed lemur), 691 nucleotides. RefSeq lists it as uncharacterized. Lineage: Eukaryota; Metazoa; Chordata; Mammalia; Primates; Lemuridae. The record is from RefSeq and is a predicted model, not a curated record. The transcript is spliced from 4 exons.
UCUCUGCACUGAGUCUUUGGUUGGCCAUGACUUGUUUGCACACUGUCUCUCUGAUCAAGUUGUGCGUGUCUUGAUGGCAGUGAUGCGGACUUACUCAUCUCUGUAACCACAAUGCCCAGUAAAUGGGGUAGUCACUCUGUGUUUUUUGAAUAAAUGACUAUCUUAUUUCUCUUCGAAUUACAGCGUCAGGACAGUGCACAGAGUAAGGUACAUAUUUUUUAAAGUUAACUGAGUCUCCUCAUUUUACAGAUGAGGAAACUGAGGCCCAGGGAGGUGGCCUGACUUGCUCAAGGUCAUGCAGCAAGUUAGUGGCAGAGAAUUAAACCAGGUAUCCCGACUCUGGUGAAGUGGUCAUUCUGCAUCAUCACAGCUGCUAGGUAGAAAUGGAAUGCCUGGGAGCUGGAGACCUCUGGAACACAGAGCAAAACCCAGCUGCAUUCUCAGUUCCAUGACUUCGCAGGUGGUACUGUGGGAGCCUCCGCUGGAAUGUCAGUUGCCUGAGCUCACCUGGUUCACAGCAGAACUGGACUCAAACUCAAAAGUUCUCCAUGAACUGGAACAAAAGGAAGAGAAAUUCUGUUUACUUAGCACCUAUAACACGAGGACAGCGGAACCUGCCAUCUCACGGGGUUGGCCUCAGGUGGAAGUGAUGGCUGAGAACAGCUCUGCAGAGCAAGGAUGGACCAGCUAC